This 31-nucleotide non-coding RNA is filed under the name Mus musculus (house mouse). Lineage: Eukaryota; Metazoa; Chordata; Mammalia; Rodentia; Muridae. The record is from RNAcentral.
UGACUGCUUACAAAUAUUUGAUACAAGGGUU